CCUAAGGGCGGCAGCAGUGGGGAAUAUUGGACAAUGGGCGAAAGCCUGAUCCAGCCAUGCCGCGUGUGUGAAGAAGGCCUUCGGGUUGUAAAGCACUUUCAGUGGGGAAGAAAGCCUUGGGGCUAAUACCCUCGAGGAAGGACAUCACCCACAGAAGAAGCACCGGCUAACUCCGUGCCAGCAGCCGCGGUAAUACGGAGGGUGCGAGCGUUAAUCGGAAUUACUGGGCGUAAAGCGCGCGUAGGCGGUCUGAUAAGCCGGUUGUGAAAGCCCCGGGCUCAACCUGGGAACGACAUCCGGAACUGUCAGGCUAGAGUGCAGGAGAGGAAGGUAGAAUUCCCGGUGUAGCGGUGAAAUGCGUAGAGAUCGGGAGGAAUACCAGUGGCGAAGGCGGCCUUCUGGACUGACACUGACGCUGAGGUGCGAAAGCGUGGGUAGCAAACAGGAUUAGAUACCCUAGUAGUC
This 465-nucleotide ribosomal RNA is filed under the name Vreelandella stevensii. Its description in RNAcentral is "partial 16S ribosomal RNA". It matches the Rfam family "Bacterial small subunit ribosomal RNA", at positions 338 to 795 of the family's 1533-position model. Lineage: Bacteria; Pseudomonadati; Pseudomonadota; Gammaproteobacteria; Oceanospirillales; Halomonadaceae. The record is from RNAcentral.